AGCGAACGCUGGCGGGAGGAAGAACAAAGGAAAGUCGAAAGAAAGGUGCGGGGUUAGGGGCGGACGGGGGAGUAACACGUGGGAACGGGCCUUGAGGUUCGGAAAAACUCAGGGAAACUUGGGCUAAGACCGAAUGUGCCCUUCGGGGGAAAGAUUAAUCGCCGGUAGAGCGGCCCGCGUCUGAUUCGCUAGUUGGUUGAGGUAAUGGCUCACCAAGGCGACUAUCAGUAGCUGGUCUGAGAGGAUGAUCAGCCACAGUGGGACUGAGACACGGCCCAAACUCCUACGGGAGGCAGCAGUGGGGGAUCUUGCGCAAUGGGCGAAAGCCUGCCGCAGCCAUGCCGCGUGCCUUCUUCCGGUCUUAGGAUUGUAAAAUUCUUUCCCCGCGGACGAUAAUGACGGUACCCGGAGACGAAGCCCCCUCUCCCUUCGUG
RNAcentral lists this ribosomal RNA (434 nucleotides) under uncultured bacterium. Its description in RNAcentral is "partial 16S ribosomal RNA". It matches the Rfam family "Bacterial small subunit ribosomal RNA", at positions 29 to 507 of the family's 1533-position model. The record is from RNAcentral.